This 429-nucleotide ribosomal RNA is filed under the name bacterium. Its description in RNAcentral is "partial 16S ribosomal RNA". It matches the Rfam family "Bacterial small subunit ribosomal RNA", at positions 355 to 776 of the family's 1533-position model. RNAcentral also lists the same sequence under 1 other name. The record is from RNAcentral.
UAGGGAAUCUUCCACAAUGGACGCAAGUCUGAUGGAGCAACGCCGCGUGAGUGAAGAAGGUUUUCGGAUCGUAAAGCCCUGUUGUUGGUGAAGAAGGAUAGAGGUAGUAACUGGCCUUUAUUUGACGGUAAUCAACCAGAAAGUCACGGCUAACUACGUGCCAGCAGCCGCGGUAAUACGUAGGUGGCAAGCGUUGUCCGGAUUUAUUGGGCGUAAAGCGAGCGCAGGCGGAAGAAUAAGUCUGAUGUGAAAGCCCUCGGCUUAACCGAGGAACUGCAUCGGAAACUGUUUUUCUUGAGUGCAGAAGAGGAGAGUGGAAUUCCAUGUGUAGCGGUGGAAUGCGUAGAUAUAUGGAAGAACACCAGUGGCGAAGGCGACUCUCUGGUCUGCAACUGACGCUGAGGCUCGAAAGCAUGGGUAGCGAACAGG